This 246-nucleotide long non-coding RNA is filed under the name Nicotiana benthamiana. RNAcentral's name for it is "long non-coding RNA (NBEN_LNC012905)". Lineage: Eukaryota; Viridiplantae; Streptophyta; Magnoliopsida; Solanales; Solanaceae. The record is from RNAcentral.
AUUAGUGACUCCCGCAGAAAAUAGUGAAAAUAAUUAUCUAAAAAUAAGAAACAUACAUACAAUCGCAGGCAAUAAAAUCGUGCAGUAACUAUCAUAACUAACAGCCACAGGAGGCACACGCUAACACACAAAUCGUCUAUGAGAAAACCUACUGACGUGUGAAGGACUCUAGGAGCCCCUAACCUACUGAUUCUGGAUCUCCAGACGCUCCUAUCAAGGGUCAUGUCCUCGGAAACUUGCAUUCUA